GGAAGAGAGUCGUGUGGGCCCAGGUAUCGUAGCGGCGACACGAGAGAGACGGGCGGUGUGACAGCCUUCCACUACCUGCACGAGUGUAUUGGUCUGUCUGCUAUCAGCUAUGCCGCUGCCCGUUGCGCUGCAGACCCGCUUGGCCAAGAGAGGCAUCCUCAAACAUCUGGAGCCUGAACCAGAGGAAGAGAUCAUUGCCGAGGACUAUGACGAUG
This 215-nucleotide unclassified non-coding RNA is filed under the name Hevea brasiliensis (rubber tree). The record is from RNAcentral. Lineage: Eukaryota; Viridiplantae; Streptophyta; Magnoliopsida; Malpighiales; Euphorbiaceae.